Molecule: ribosomal RNA, 467 nt
Filed under: uncultured bacterium
Lineage: Bacteria
Description: partial 16S ribosomal RNA
Rfam family: Bacterial small subunit ribosomal RNA
Source: RNAcentral
GACGAACGCUGGCGGCGUGCUUAACACAUGCAAGUCGAACGGAAAGGCCCUGCUUUUGUGGGGUGCUCGAGUGGCGAACGGGUGAGUAACACGUGAGUAACCUGCCCUUGACUUUGGGAUAACUUCAGGAAACUGGGGCUAAUACCGGAUAGGAGCUCCUGCUGCAUGGUGGGGGUUGGAAAGUUUCGGCGGUUGGGGAUGGACUCGCGGCUUAUCAGCUUGUUGGUGGGGUAGUGGCUUACCAAGGCUUUGACGGGUAGCCGGCCUGAGAGGGUGACCGGCACAAUGGGGACGAGGGACGGGCCCAGCCUCCUAGGGGGGGCAGGGGGGGGAAAUUUGGCACAAGGGGGGGAGGCCGGAGGGGGAAACCCCGGGGGGGGGAUGACGGCCUUCGGGUUGUAAACCGCUUUCCCCUGGGACGAAGGGGGAGGGGCGGUAAGGGGUAAAAAAGCCCCGGCAAACUGCGU